Long non-coding RNA from Hypanus sabinus (Atlantic stingray), 2234 nucleotides. RefSeq lists it as uncharacterized. Lineage: Eukaryota; Metazoa; Chordata; Chondrichthyes; Myliobatiformes; Dasyatidae. The record is from RefSeq and is a predicted model, not a curated record. The transcript is spliced from 3 exons.
CUUUCUGUGGGAUGAAGUGCAAACUACAGCAGAGCCGAACUCAACACAAACUGCCUGCUGUCGAGGCGCGGGAGCGUCGCCUAUCUGAAGCGCUUACUCUGUUUCUCUCUCCACAAACGCUGCCUGGUCUGCCGAGUGAUUCCAGCAUCCUUUAUUUUUAUUGCAGAUUCCCGGCACCUGUAUCUUUUUUUUCUGUCUCGUAUUAGAGCGUUGUGGGUUUUUUUUGUGUGUCUGAGAAUGAAGACGUGAGGUGAAAUACAGCCUAGCACAAAGGCCUCCUUCUUUCCCAGGCUCCUUUGCUUUAUCCACCUUAAAUAAACCCAACAUGCCUAGUGUAUUAUCCCGAUUUUCCCUUUUCAUUAUACCUAGAAAUUCCCACUUCCCAUUGCUCGAAGUUCUCAAAUCAUAUCAUCGCCAAGUCAGCAUUUCCUGUUAUUACAAAGAACCUUCUUUACUUCUCAUCCCACAACAGAAGGAGGGGGAUAUGGUGAGCAGAUCAUUCUCCCACUAGGUUCCAUGCCCUUCGCAAAAAGAGGUCCCAUACUUUGCCAUUCAGCCAUUUUCUGGCACCCUGUCACCCUAAUCUCAAAGGUGGCUUAAAUUCUACACCAUUCAUAUUUUCCUAAUCAUCUCAUAACCCCUCAUCUCAAAAAAACAUAACUCAUUCAGGUUCCAUCUGCCUUUGCCUGGCCUCCUUCCCAGGUUACACAGCACUUUGGUCGACUUGGAAAUCGGGCCAAGGAAUGGCAGAUGGAGUUUAACUCAAACAAGUGCAAGUUAAUGAAUUUUGGGGAGGUAAACUGGGACUGUAGAGCGUUUUAUAGAAUUGUAACACCUAAGGAUAUAUGUAUGUAGUUCCCUGAAAAGUGGCAACGCAGGUAGACAAAACAGUAUGGCAUGCUUGCCUUUAUGAGAUGGAACACUGAGUACAAGAUUUGGGACAUUUUGUUACAGUUGUACAGAACGUUGGUGAGGAAAACUGACCUGAGGAACUGAGGAAAACUCCUGAAAACUCUGCUAAGUUCUGGCCACCAUGCUAUAAGAAAGAUGUGAUUAAGCUGGAGAAGGUGGAAAAUAAAAGGUUCACAAAGAUUUCGCCAUGACUGGAGGGCUUGAGUUACGGGGAGAGAUUGGAAAUGCUGGGUCUGUUUUCCCUAGAUUGAAGAUCACUGAGGGGCAGCCUAACAGAGGUUUAUAAGUCUUUAAUAUAGGAGUGCUCGUGAUCGACAGACGACUGGAGAUCGGAGGAUCAGCCGUUGUAGGUAGGCCGAGACCCUCGGACCUACCUGGACAAUAUCUGAGGAGGAAAGUAAAGCGUCAAGCGCGGGUGACAUCAGUGGCGAGCGCGGGCUUUAAAAAGUGGCCCACUUUCAGGAGCGGGCAGUGGAGUGCGCAGGAGCAGAGUGCUGGGCUUUGGCUCAGCGGGCUUCGGCAUAAGAGAACUUCAAUGCUGCCUGGCCUGAUGAAUAUUUCCUGAAGUCUCUGACACCCGUCCAACUAAGUCAGGUGUGAGGGUAGAUCACUCUAAGUGCUGAGUCGAUUUGGAGAGGACGAGAACAGCUUCCUUGGCAGUGAAAUCCUGGUCCGAAGCGUAUCACUGGGUGGCAUGUUCUAGGCCCUGAGCAAUUUGCCACAGCAAGGCUUGGGCCCUAAUGUGAGCUGCAAAACUAUUUGGACAAUCUAAGCGCCAGCCCAGAUAGACUGGAAAGGCUAGGUGUCGAGAGCCAGGUGAGGUUGGAUUGUUCAGGGCACCAAUCUGACUUGGAGAAGUCAAGAAUGGCUUCUUAGGCAGCGAAAACUAGGCCUGGAAUGAUUCAUCGCAGUGGGACCUGUGUUCUAGCAUGAAGUUUGGACAAUUUAAGUGCCAGCCCAGAUAAUCUGGGGGCUCCUCUGUCUGUGAUGCUAAGGCUGUAAGACUACCUUCAGCUGCUGUGCCUCGUGUCUACUUUGCAGUUAUUAUCCCUGCUAAUAUGGUAAACUGAAUUCGGAGGCUUUGGGCCUACUACUCCGAGCUGCUCCAGGGGAUUGCGAUCUAAGAAUUCAAUCUGGUUUGGAAUACUGUUGUUGUUGCUCACGUCUGUUGUUUACAUGAUUUGUUUUGUUCUUUUUCCUCUUUCUCUGUGGGCACUGGGAGUUGGUCUCUGUUUUUAUUCGGGUUCUUUCAGGUUCCUUGCUUUGCAGCUGCCUGUAAGCAAACAAAUCUCAAGGUUGUAUCAUUUGCACAUACUUUGAUA